AAGAUAAACAUAAAUAAACAAUUGAUUAAAACAAAAUAACAUAAGAGUAAAAAAGUGAAAAAAAAAAAAUAAAAAUUUUAAUAUCAGAAAUGUAGGAAUGUUUUUUAAAUGUCUUUUUAAUUAAGAGCAUUUAUAAUUUUUUUUGAAAGGCAUAUUUUUUUAAGCUUUUAAAAAAAAAAAAAAAAAAAAAAAAAACAUAAAUUAAAAAAAAAAAAAGUAUUACACAUAAAUGAUAUGUGACACAUUUCAAUCCAUAUAUAUGUAUAUAUAGAUAUAUAUAUAUUUUAUUUUAUUUCCAAAAUGGAGGAGGAAUUUGUUUUAAGUGAAAAAUUAGAAGAACUAAAAAAUUUAAUCUUUUUAGAUGAUGAGCCUUUUGAGCACUUGGACUUUGUGGUCAGAAUAAUAAAUGCUAAUGUGAUGUUACCUAGAUAAUAUAGCUUAUAUAUACAUAUAUAUACAUGUAUUUAUAUGUGUAUAUUUACUUGUGUUUACAUGCUUAUAUAUUCGAGUACUGAUUUAAAAUUAAAUGUUUUAGAAGGUGCCAUGUAUUCCCCUUUGCGUCCUACCUGGCCUGUCGUUCUUAAGCUGCCGAGCUAUGGAAGAACAUAAAAAUGGACACAGAAAAGAUGAAAUAAACGAAACCGAUGAAAUAUCAAUUGAAUAUUUUUAUGCAAAAAGGUUAUACAAAAACAGUUUAGUAAAAAUAAAAUUUCCCGAGUUUUAUGAAAUGGCAGGAGCACUCUUAGCUGAUUCCACUGCAGCGUCUGUUGGAAGUUUAACUCAUCUUUAUUUUGAAUUAGGAAACGAUUUAUGUGAAAUAUUGCCAGAAAACGAAUGGCCUGUUGAAAAAUUGGAAGAACUGUUAAACAUAGCAGAAACGAGGAGACGAAUUUAUUUAAUCAAGCAUAGUGACAAAGUUGACCAAACGUAUUUAGAAGGAAUGACAUAUAUGGAAAGAAAAAGUAUUAAAAUAUAUAUUAAUGUAUAUAAACACAUGUAUAGACGCAAUAAAUAACGAUGACACAUUAAAAAAGUCACGGAUGUUUUGCUUGUUCUAUAUAUUAUAUUUUAUUUUCUAUACCGACCUCACUAUAUUUGCUCCUUUUUUUUUUUUUUUUUUUUUUUUUUUUCUGCUUUUCUUUUUUUAGUGUUUAAUUCAUUUUCAUUAGGAUCAGAAAUAGAUAAACAAAAAGCUACAUCAUCUAGAGAAGUUUUUAACUUUUUUGAAUUCGAUAUAUAAUUUUCCACUUUUAUAUAAAAUGUUUAAAUAAUGUAUCAUUGAUUCAUGACUCACUUAUCAACCCAUUUUUUUCAUAAGCACAUCCACAUAUAUAUAUAUAUAUAUAUACGUGCAUGCAAAUAAAAUAGUUUUGCCAAAUGUAUAAAUUUUUAUU
RNAcentral lists this long non-coding RNA (1394 nucleotides) under Piliocolobus tephrosceles (Ugandan red Colobus). Its description in RNAcentral is "lncRNA (ENSPTEG00000002053.1)". Lineage: Eukaryota; Metazoa; Chordata; Mammalia; Primates; Cercopithecidae. The record is from RNAcentral.